GAUGAACGCUAGCGGCAGGCUUAAUACAUGCAAGUCGUGGGGCAGCGCAGUGUAGCAAUACAUGGGCGGCGACCGGCAAACGGGUGCGGAACACGUACACAACCUUCCUACAAGUGGGGAAUAGCCCAGAGAAAUUUGGAUUAAUACCCCGUAACAUAUAAAGAUGGCAUCAUUUUUAUAUUAUAGCUACGGCGCUUGUUGAUGGGUGUGCGGCUGAUUAGGUAGUUGGCGGGGUAAUGGCCCACCAAGCCUGCGAUCAGUAGCUGAUGUGAGAGCAUGAUCAGCCACACGGGCACUGAGACACGGGCCCGACUCCUACGGGAGGCAGCAGUAAGGAAUAUUGGACAAUGGGCGCAAGCCUGAUCCAGCCAUGCCGCGUGAAGGAUUAAGGUCCUCUGGAUUGUAAACUUCUUUUAUAAGGGACGAAAAAAGGGAAUUCUUUCUCACUUGACGGUACCUUAUGAAUAAGCACCGGCUAACUCCGUGCCAGCAGCCGCGGUAAU
This 503-nucleotide ribosomal RNA is filed under the name uncultured bacterium. Its description in RNAcentral is "bacterial SSU rRNA". It matches the Rfam family "Bacterial small subunit ribosomal RNA", at positions 28 to 524 of the family's 1533-position model. The record is from RNAcentral.